Molecule: ribosomal RNA, 254 nt
Filed under: uncultured bacterium
Lineage: Bacteria
Description: partial 16S ribosomal RNA
Rfam family: Bacterial small subunit ribosomal RNA
Source: RNAcentral
UACGUAGGGUCCAAGCGUUAUCCGGAAUCACUGGGCGUAAAGCGUGCGUCGGCGGAUGUUUAAGUGCAAUGCGAAAUCCUGUGGCUCAACCAUAUGGACUGUAUUGCAUACUGGAUAUCUGGAGGAAUGCAGAGGCAAGUGGAAUUACCGGUGUAGCAGUGAAAUGCGUAGAGAUCGGUAGGAACACCAAUGGCGAAGGCAGCUUGCUGGGCAUUUUCUGACGCUAAGGCACGAAAGCGUGGGGAGCGAACAGG